Molecule: long non-coding RNA, 882 nt
Organism: Drosophila novamexicana
Lineage: Eukaryota; Metazoa; Arthropoda; Insecta; Diptera; Drosophilidae
Exons: 4
Source: RefSeq, a predicted model, not a curated record
CACACACACACAAACAUACACACGUACACAUACACACAAACAGAGACAGGCAGACAGACGUGCGCAUGAAGUGAACUUGUUAAUGCUGUCUAUAAGCAGCAUUUACAUACAAGUUGACCCCACAUGUACACAUAAAUAUGUUUGUACUUUGUACAUACACACGUAUACAUACAUACAUAUGCAUAUAUGUGCAUGUUUAACUACGAUGUCCCGGCUGAAAAAGCAGUUCACGGGCCUUUUGCUCUUAAGAGAAUGGCCAGCCACAAGGCUUCGAAUGGACACACUUCAGCAAAUGUGAUUACUGUGUGCAUGUACACAUGCACAUACUUAUGCAUGUACAUAGGUAUUUAUUCCCCAACCUCACACCCAUCAACACACAGACAAUGGAAGCACCCUAUAAAUCUGUUGUUUAACAAUAUGAAGAAAGCAGCCGCUUAACAAUUUCCACUCGAUUUCAAUGGCAUUUUUGUGGAUAUAUUAAACUCAUUCCCAUUUCUAUUAAUUGAUGAGCAGUAAAAUAGUCCUGCGUGUCAUGUGAACUUCUGGCUCCUUACCUUGCUUGACCUACUUUUGGCCGUUCUCAGCUGAUUUUACUGGAAAGAUCUUGAGAAACCAGAACUACCAAAAAUCGGCAACUCCUAAUCAUAAACCAGAUACAUUUAAAUGGGUUAUUAGAAACCUUAAAAAAAAUAAUGGCUUUUAUUUAAUAUAUUUCGAAAUAAUAGUAGUAUUAUUUUCAUAGAGGCUUAUGUACAACUAGUCUAUUAAAGAUAACGAGAAUAAAAUAUUAUGUGUAAGUAAUUGUUAAUAAGAAUAAAAAAAAAGCGUAAUUAAGUUUAGUAAUACACAAAAAAACCCAAGUCAAGUAUGAAUCAAUAUGCU